RNAcentral lists this ribosomal RNA (222 nucleotides) under uncultured bacterium. RNAcentral describes it as "partial 16S ribosomal RNA". It matches the Rfam family "Bacterial small subunit ribosomal RNA", at positions 111 to 334 of the family's 1533-position model. The record is from RNAcentral.
UAACGCGUGGAUAACCUGCCUCACACUGGGGGAUAACAGUUAGAAAUGCUGCUAAUACCGCAUAAGCGCACAGUACCGCAUGGUACAGUGUGAAAAACUCCGGUGGUGUGAGAUGGAUCCGCGUCUGAUUAGCCAGUUGGCGGGGUAACGGCCCACCAAAGCGACGAUCAGUAGCCGACCUGAGAGGGUGACCGGCCACAUUGGGACUGAGACACGGCCCAA